This 457-nucleotide ribosomal RNA is filed under the name uncultured Anoxybacillus sp. RNAcentral's name for it is "bacterial SSU rRNA". It matches the Rfam family "Bacterial small subunit ribosomal RNA", at positions 924 to 1382 of the family's 1533-position model. Lineage: Bacteria; Bacillati; Bacillota; Bacilli; Caryophanales; Anoxybacillaceae. The record is from RNAcentral.
CACAAGCGGUGGAGCAUGUGGUUUAAUCGACGCAACGCGAAGAACCUUACCAGGGUUUGACAUCCCCUGACAGCUAUUGAAAGAUAGACUUCAUCUUCGGAUGACAGGGAGACAGGUGGUGCAUGGUUGUCGUCAGCUCGUGUCGUGAGAUGUUGGGUUAAGUCCCGCAACGAGCGCAACCCUCGACCUUAGUUGCCAGCAUUCAGUUGGGCACUCUAAGGUGACUACCGGCUAAAAGUCGGAGGAAGUGGGGAUGACGUCAAAUCAUCAUGCCCCUUAUGACCUGGGCUACACACGUGCUACAAUGGGCGGUACAAAGGGUCGCGAACCCGCGAGGGGGAGCCAAUCCCAAAAAGCCGCUCUCAGUUCGGAUUGCAGGCUGCAACUCGCCUGCAUGAAGCCGGAAUCGCUAGUAAUCGCGGAUCAGCAUGCCGCGGUGAAUACGUUCCCGGGCCUU